CCUCACCCGGCCCGGACACGGACAGGAUUGACAGAUUGAUAGCUCUUUCUCGAUUCCGUGGGUGGUGGUGCAUGGCCGUUCUUAGUUGGUGGAGCGAUUUGUCUGGUUAAUUCCGAUAACGAACGAGACUCUGGCAUGCUAACUAGUUACGCGACCCCCGAGCGGUCGGCGUCCCCCAACUUCUUAGAGGGACAAGUGGCGUUCAGCCACCCGAGAUUGAGCAAUAACAGGUCUGUGAUGCCCUUAGAUGUCCGGGGCUGCACGCGCGCUACACUGACUGGCUCAGCGUGUGCCUACCCUACGCCGGCAGGCGCGGGUAACCCGUUGAACCCCAUUCGUGAUGGGGAUCGGGGAUUGCAAUUAUUCCCCAUGAACGAGGAAUUCCCAGUAAGUGCGGGUCAUAAGCUUGCGUUGAUUAAGUCCCUGCCCUUUGUACACACCGCCCGUCGCUACUACCGAUUGGAUGGUUUAGUGAGGCCCUCGGAUCGGCCCCGCC
This 496-nucleotide ribosomal RNA is filed under the name Yersinia pestis. RNAcentral's name for it is "SSU rRNA". It matches the Rfam family "Eukaryotic small subunit ribosomal RNA", at positions 1213 to 1725 of the family's 1831-position model. Lineage: Bacteria; Pseudomonadati; Pseudomonadota; Gammaproteobacteria; Enterobacterales; Yersiniaceae. RNAcentral also lists the same sequence under 2 other names. The record is from RNAcentral.